Molecule: non-coding RNA, 28 nt
Filed under: Mus musculus (house mouse)
Lineage: Eukaryota; Metazoa; Chordata; Mammalia; Rodentia; Muridae
Source: RNAcentral
AAUGAAUGAAUGAAUGAAUGGGGGUGUC